AAGCAGAUGCUGUGGUCACGGGUUGAGCUCUUUCCUGCUGCCUUGAACCUGAGGCAGGCUAUUCUUCCUCUGCGACUCCACAGCUUCAGGCCAGCCCCUCCCCGCUCAAAUCCCUGAGGCAGAGCUCCUCUCAAGAAGACUUCCGAUAUUAGGUUGCCUGGGCCCAGCUUGAAUCAGGUGCCCCCAGCCGAGUCGCCCUCCAGGGGAUGGAAUACAGUGACUCCCAGCCCCGGAGACCUGAGUCCGCCUGAGCCACGGGGACUCGGAUAGAAGGCAAGUGAGGCCUGAUACCUCUGCUACAGUGCUCCCCGCCCGCCCCAUUCGAAUCCCAGGUUCCACACAGGAAGAGGCGGUUCCCAGGUGCCACACAGCAAGAGGCGGUUCCCAGGUGCCACACCAGCAAGAGGCGGUUCCCAGGUGCCACACAGCAAGAGGCGGUUCCCCAGGUGCCACACAGCAAGAGGCGGUUCCCAGGUGCCACACAGCAAGAGGCGG
RNAcentral lists this long non-coding RNA (495 nucleotides) under Pongo abelii (Sumatran orangutan). RNAcentral describes it as "lincRNA". The record is from RNAcentral. Lineage: Eukaryota; Metazoa; Chordata; Mammalia; Primates; Hominidae.